GACGAACGCUGGCGGCGUGCUUAACACAUGCAAGUCGAACGGAAAGGCCUGCUUUCCCUUGUGGAUUGCGGGUACUCGAGUGGCGAACGGGUGAGUAACACGUGAGUGAUCUGCCCCCAACUUGGGUAUAAGCCUGGGAAACUGGGUCUAAUUCCCGAUAGGACUGCAGGGUGGUGCCUGUGGUGGAAAACGAUUUUCUAGUGGUUGGGGAUGAGCUCGCGGCCUAUCAGCUUGUUGGUGGGGUAAUGGCCUACCAAGGCGGCGACGGGUAGCCGGCCUGAGAGGGUGGACGGCGACAUUGGGACUGAGAUACGGCCCAGACUCCUACGGGAGGCAGCAGUGGGGAAUAUGGCAGAAUGGGCGGAAGCCUGAUGCAGCGACGCCGCGUGGGGGAUGACGGCCUUCGGGUUGUAAACUCCUUUCGACCGCGAGGAAGCCACCUGGUUGGAAGGGUGGUGACGGUAGUGGUAGAAGAAGCACCGGCUAACUACGUG
This 494-nucleotide ribosomal RNA is filed under the name uncultured bacterium. Its description in RNAcentral is "partial 16S ribosomal RNA". It matches the Rfam family "Bacterial small subunit ribosomal RNA", at positions 28 to 507 of the family's 1533-position model. The record is from RNAcentral.